This is a long non-coding RNA of Oncorhynchus tshawytscha (Chinook salmon), 938 nucleotides long. RefSeq lists it as uncharacterized. The record is from RefSeq and is a predicted model, not a curated record. NCBI's taxonomy places the organism in Eukaryota, Metazoa, Chordata, Actinopteri, Salmoniformes, Salmonidae. The transcript has 3 exons.
UUACCACCGGCUAAAUCUAUGAUGUUAAAAUGCCUAUUUGCUCUGUUCCACCUAACUGCGCAAUCCACUGUCGCAUCAGCCAAGGCAGGUGUGUUUAUACCAGGUACACCCACAACUGGCAGUGGCAUUACAAGAGAUGUUACCAUAACCGUCUACUGUGUGCCUCAUACCACCUAGGAGCCUCCUAGACUGAUCAAUCCUGAAGUUACACAAUGAAGGUCACUGUUGACGUCCCAAUGUCCAAAGACCCAGAGGUUAAACUUCCCCUGGUUAUCCUCCUGGACAAAUGAAAAGCAGCUGAGAAUGGCAGAAAGAAUACAUCUUGACCAAAUGUCCUCCUAUAAGAUCCUGGUCCUGGUCGUUGAUGCCCAUAGGAUGUAAGACUAAAGCUGGUGGUCUGUGCCUGUAUCCAUUAAACAUCUCAGAACAGGAGUACUGACCUAUGACCUGUUUUCCCUUUUAGAUCACUAUGGACAGGGAUUAUUAUGGACAGGGAGGACCUGAUGCUAGAUCAGCACUCCUACUAUGAGCUGCUUUGUGGAUACGGGCUCAGUUUCCCAUAAUCUCUGUUGUUUUGAAACACUGUCUGUCACUGUCACAAUGUCUGUAAUUAUGUUAUUUUGUCACAUAUAUCAGUUAUUUCCCAACUCUUGAAUUAAGGAAGUUAUGACACAAUUUCUGCUUGUCUCGGAUCUUUCAGUUACAGUAUAAGAUUGUUGAAGUCAUUUUUCCUGGUCUCCACUAGAUGGGGAUAUAGGUAAAGCUGUGUAAGAGCAGUGACAGAGCAGGGACUAGUGUAAUCUGAUUUAUUAUCUGAUGCUCAUUUUUCUUGUCAGCUAAGGAAAUGUGCCACUUGAUUUUUUAAGAAUAAUGUUUCAUUUUAAUCUUCAUUUUUUUUCAUCCAAUCACUGGGAUUACAGUUUUUGUUGUUGAAAGAA